AAUAAACACAGUUUUGCAUUAUUUAUCUCCAACGUUUGACCGUUUGUCUUAUUUAAAAAUUUUUUUGUAAUUAGUAUUUUUUGUUGUUAUUAGAUGAUAAAACACGAAUAGUACUUUAUGGGUGACUUUUUUUUAGUUUUUUUAUAAAUUUUUCAAAUAAGACGAACGGUUAAACGUUAGACACGGAUCUCCAUGACUGUACUUAUU
Oryza sativa Japonica Group (Japanese rice) is the source of this 207-nucleotide microRNA precursor. It matches the Rfam family "MIR812 microRNA precursor family". Lineage: Eukaryota; Viridiplantae; Streptophyta; Magnoliopsida; Poales; Poaceae. The record is from Rfam.